Non-coding RNA from Lolium perenne, 3154 nucleotides. Lineage: Eukaryota; Viridiplantae; Streptophyta; Magnoliopsida; Poales; Poaceae. The record is from RefSeq and is a predicted model, not a curated record.
CCAAUGCAAAGUAGAAUGGGAAAGACUUGGUGCUAAAGCAACGGCAACUCCAGGAAAAUCAUGUGCUUGCUGCUGCUAAUAAAAUGCAGAUCCAAUUACUGUCCGUCAGCUGUGCGGAAAUACGAGUAUCUCCAGUGGAGUCCAUACUCGAUGGUAGGCUUGAUGGAUAUUGCAAGUGUGCUUGGACUGGUUUCUUGCGGGAGGCACCCUCAAAUCGAUUCUUGGAAGCACAAAUGCAGUAAAUUGGUAGCUGCUUGGACCAUCUGCUUCUUGCAGUACCAGGUUAAAACGAAUUUAUGGUUCUUGUGUAACCAUCUCACUGAAAUGAGGGAACGUGAGAGGUGUUUGUGGUCUCAGUAGACUUCUCACUUGGCACCCAAUUAAUAUUCUUGCACUGCUUUCGCUUCUUCAUUUACAUGUACUCUGGAGAUUUCUUUAUUAUUACAGUUUUGAAAUAUAUUGCUGAAAUUUAUGGGCCUAGGCCAAGUGACGAUUGCUCUUGACAAAUGAUUAUAUUUCUUGCACUACAAUCUGUUAAUGCUUUUUUUCGUAGUUGGGAUUCGUGCUGCCAUUAUUUCAUAUAUGCUUUACCUCUUUCGUAAUGGGUGUUUUACGGAUUUCACUAAUUUUAUGUAAGCAAUAUUUCUUGAACAGUUUUACUUAGCUUGCUUUGUUGUUGUGUAUGGCGGGCGACGACCAGACCAGGCAAGUCCAUCCCCUCUCCUAUCCUCUUUCAUCUCAGUAUUUGUUCCUCUGUGCAUUGUCGGUGCGGCAGUGUAUACUCGAUACCGUGUGGCAGUGGCAUCUGGGCGUACAACGCCGACAUCUUGGCGUGGUGGGUGCGAGGAAGCACGCUGUUGGCUGCAAAGCUAGCUUAAUUUAGCAAGCUAUCCAGAUCGAUUGGAUACUUUUUUUUCUUUGGUAGCACGCUAUGCACAUGUCUUUGAAAUUCUUCUUCUCUCUCUCAGUGCUAGAAAAUUGCAGAACAGAUAAGCCAUGGCUGAGAUGUAUCUCACAGAGAAAAGCUGAAGAUGGAACCAUCUAUUUUGGGUGAUUAGUCAUUGUCGGCUUUCAGUUUCAGCUCCUUUUUUUUUGAAAUGGGGCAGCCCAGCGUCUGCAUCAAUUUCAGCUCAUGUGUCUCCCGUCUCGUCAUCCACAAAAUCAUGGAAGUUGGAAAGAACCUUCAGCUUAUGUAGAAGUAGACAUGAAAGUGUGAAGACCUCAAAUAAUACUAUGGGAGCAUAUGAUAACACUCUUAACAACAUGACAUCAGUAAUGAACCAACUUUAUUCAGAUUUCCAAUAUAUCUUGUUAUCUUUCUAUGUUUGGGAGUCGAAUAAUGUCUCCAUAUUAAUUGCAACUUACUUUCCCAUUCUGUUUUGCUCGCCAUUGUUGUAUGCUUAGGACUUGUGAGCUCUCUGAUUGGUGAUUUAUGAAAUCCUCUAAAGAUCAAUAUUACCUGGAGUAUGUUGUUCUUUGAGUUGCCUCACACCAGUUACUCCCUCCGACCUCUACGGCCUGCUGCCACGCCACCGUCUGCAGAUCCUGCAGAAAGUCCAUGGCAUCCUAUCUCUACGGCACGGGCUGCCGCCACACCACCAUCUGCGGCUCCUGCGGUAAGGCCAUGGCGCACGCCCUGCUCCGCCUCGGUCACCAAUUCCUUUUGACGCCUCCUAAUCGACGGUGGAGGCGCCGACGACGAAGAAAGCAGCCGGCCGCCGCAGCCACGGUCGCGGAUGGCUUCGGGUAUUUCUACAUCUUCGGCUUCGGCUUCAGAGUUGGAGCUGGAGGGGAAGAUGCAAGUAAUGGGAAAUCUGGAGUUGGCGAUCGACAAAUAGAAGCUAAGCCUGAUACGCUGACAGUUGAUACUGGUGCUGGGGUUCCAUUCCAUCAAAUAUUUUAGUCAGUUUUCAAGUUCUUUGUAUAUGACCAGAUAUACAGAAAGCAUGCUCAACAACAAGGUAGAGCUGCAAAUAUCUCUUCAAAGAAUAAUUAUGUCCUUACGAAGAAGUUAUCGACCAUUCGAGACUUUGAACCCACUCAGAAGAUAUCUGCAUGAUUCCUCUUAAGAAGCUGAAGAGUUUGCCUUCUGGAUUUACUUUGAUGACAGUUGCAUUUUUGGUGUAGAAUUUAUCAAGGUUAUCACUGUGAAAACAACAGAUACUACUUCAGAAAACCUGUAUAUUCAGCAGAGAAACACCUUUGAUGACCAUGGAGUGUAUACUUGGAUUAUUGAAGGCUUCACCACACCUCAGACCCCAUGCAACUCUCCAACAUUUGUAACUGGCGGAUACAAAUGGUAUCUAAGUAUCAAGACAUCUAACAUGGAUGUGGAUGGCAGCACGAAUUUUCUCUCUCUGUUCCUGCAUCUGUAAGAUAUGCUCCCCAGAAAUCAUGGAAUACUGGUAGAGGUCAGCUUUUCUCUCAUGGACCAAGCAAAUGGCAACCACAGGGAGUUCAGAGGAAUUGGCAGGGCAUGUGGAUGGAGCAAACCUUCCAAGAUGCUCGGUUUAGGUGCGACUCUCCAUCGUUUCCUGCGGCCGCAGCAGCGACGGCAAGCGGCUCUCCUCCUUGGAGCCUCAGGUGAGGUGACCCCGCGGCGAGCGGAGCAGCGAUGGCGGGAGGGAGCUGCGGACAGCGCCACAGUGGCGGGGCGAUGAGGGGCGGCAACGAAGCUACUUGAUGCGGGGGACGGCCGGCGGGGGAACACGCCUUCUCUGCUCCUGGAGGCUCCGCUUCUGCCCCGCAUCCCCUGUUCCUGGAGGCCCCGACUCCUAUGCUCCUAUGUUUCGGACGGCUGGCGGGGAUGCGGGCUCACCGUUGACAUCGAGGGCGCGAGCCCAGCUCCGGAGCGGGACGGGGACGGAGCUCCGGCGCGGGACGGGGACAUCGGGAUCUUGAAUUUAUAUGUACAAGUGAUAUUUACUAGCUGAAUUUCUCAUCACAUGAUCGAUCCUCACAUGUCAAAAACAAUUUCUUUACUUUUUCCAUACAAGUAGCAGACUAAAAUUUGACGAGUCUUGCUCGAAGCAUUUGUUGUUGUAUGGUUUUUUAUAUGGUUUAAGUUAAACGAUGUGACAGCUUACAAACAGUUGGUGAGCACUGCUGGUUGUUAAGAUUAUUUGAGAGUUGGAGGAUAUGCUUCUUCAGGUAA